UGGGGAAUAUUGCACAAUGGGCGCAAGCCUGAUGCAGCCAUGCCGCGUGUGUGAAGAAGGCCUUCGGGUUGUAAAGCACUUUCAGCGAGGAGGAAGGUGGUGAGCUUAAUACGCUCAUCAAUUGACGUUACUCGCAGAAGAAGCACCGGCUAACUCCGUGCCAGCAGCCGCGGUAAUACGGAGGGUGCAAGCGUUAAUCGGAAUUACUGGGCGUAAAGCGCACGCAGGCGGUUUGUUAAGUCAGAUGUGAAAUCCCCGGGCUCAACCUGGGAACUGCAUUUGAAACUGGCAAGCUAGAGUCUCGUAGAGGGGGGUAGAAUUCCAGGUGUAGCGGUGAAAUGCGUAGAGAUCUGGAGGAAUACCGGUGGCGAAGGCGGCCCCCUGGACGAAGACUGACGCUCAGGUGCGAAAAGCGUGGGGCAGCAAACAGGAUUAGAUACCCUGGUAGUCCACGCUGUAAACGAUGUCGAUUUUGGAGGUUGUGCCCCUUGAGGCGU
This 497-nucleotide ribosomal RNA is filed under the name uncultured bacterium. Its description in RNAcentral is "partial 16S ribosomal RNA". It matches the Rfam family "Bacterial small subunit ribosomal RNA", at positions 355 to 840 of the family's 1533-position model. The record is from RNAcentral.